Cheilinus undulatus (humphead wrasse) is the source of this 828-nucleotide long non-coding RNA. RefSeq lists it as uncharacterized. Lineage: Eukaryota; Metazoa; Chordata; Actinopteri; Labriformes; Labridae. The transcript is spliced from 3 exons. The record is from RefSeq and is a predicted model, not a curated record.
GAGUCGAUUUUGGUGUAAGUUCAAACGAAGCGAAGAGGAGGUCGCAUUAUAAAACUUUCAUAAACAACAGGCACUCAGCUCCCUUCUGUUCAGUCUAUGUGAUGAAACUGUCCUGCAGGCUGCAGGGUUAGCUCCAGUUGUCAUCACUCCGUGAUUCCUAAGUUUGCAGAGGAGCUGGAGUGUAAUGGCAUUCAGAAGUUGACCUAAAGAGAUGCAGCCCGCCUCCAUCAAACCAUCUAAAUCACCCAUAGCCAAUAAGUCACCACAAGGCCGUUGUUGCCAAGGCACUGCUGGCUCAAGGCCAGCUGACCAGGCUGUCAUUCACAGUGAUUUGUCCUCAGCCACGCCCUGUGUAACUCAUAGUCUAAUGAUCAGCUUUCAAUACUAGAGAUCGAGCUCUGAGUUUGGGUUGUCCUUCACUUCAGUGUGUAAACUGCAGCUCCAGCUGAGGAGUUUUAAUUAUGUUUCUGCUGCAUCUAAAUGGCUUUAAGCUGAUUUGACUGGAUUUACUGCAGCACUUGUCCACUCAAAUGGUGAUCUGGACACAUUAGUGUGUGUGCAAGUGUGUGUCACACAUUUAUUCUCAGGAUUCAGAAUUUCUGGAAUAGUGGAGAUCUAUUUUUGUUUUGGCUCUUCGAAAUAGGAAAUGCUUGAAGUGAAUAAUGGUGCUCAUGAACAGUUAAAGGGAUUUUGUGUGUGUGUGUUGAUGUGUUUUAAACUGUCACAUAAGCCAUGUUUCAAAAGCUGCUUAGAUGACAAGACUCAUCUUGGUAAACAACAUGAUUAACAGCUGGUAAUUUCAUCAAACAUGCACGCAACAUUGUCCAG